AUUCUCAGCUCUUCAACGAGAGGUAAAUUUUUGCAUUGAUCCAAAAGGAUCCUUAGGACCUAUUGUUAAAAAAAAGGAAAGAAAAAGGUAACUAUGUGAGGUGGUGGAUGUGUUAAUAUAGUGGAUUGUAGUCAUUUCACAAAUGUGUACAUUUAUCAAAUCAUCAUAUUGUAUAAAUAUAUACAAUUUUAUUUGUUAAUUAUACCAAUAAAGUUGGAGGUAGGGAGAGAAUUGUUAAACCAAAAAAGAGAAAAUUUUUAAAUUAAGAUAAAAUAAAUAUAAUAAAACAAUAAAAAUUAAAACAAUAACUUAUAAAUAAAACAAUAAAUAAAUCUUGUGUGGUAUUCAACUAUUUGAAACAAAAGGAAAGUAUGUGUGAAUAUAUUUUAUUUAUGUUUUUUGUUUUGUAUAUAUCCAUACAUCUAGAAUCUCUCUAGAUGGGACACACAAAACUGAUCCUAAGGUACUAAGGAGAAGGAAACUUUAUUUACCAUAUACCUUUUGCACUGUUUGAAAACUGAUUUUACCAUGUGCACAUAUUGCCUUUUAUAAAUAAAAUGCUUCAUGCUUUACAAAGCACUUUUAUUUGCAUUGUUUCCUGUGGUGCUCACCCCAUUUUAGAGAUGGCAACACCAGAGCAGAGAAGUGGCCUGAGCUACCCAAGGCCACUCACUUCCGGCUGCCCCCACAUAUCGCCCUUCAUCAUUUCCCAAAGCAUUCAGGAAAGUGUCCACCUGGUUCAUCAGAAGACAUUGAAGCCAAGAAACCACAAGGGGCCUUCUAAGAAACUACUACUCACCAGCCAUCUGCAGGCUUGAAGGAGAAUUAUCUAGAGGACUGGACUGUGGAUACUCACCAGAGAGAGCCAUCAUGAGACCACAUAUCAAGCAAGCCUACAUCCCCUGCUGCCCUUUGCCCCAUUCUUGAGUUAAAAGACAAAAUCCUAAGCCCUUAAGUGCACCUCCUCUCUGAGGUUGCCUGCAGUUGUCUUUCUUUGAGUGUGGUACUUUUUGCUUUAAAUAAAGCCUUCUUGUUUCUCAAUUUACUGCAUUUUGUCUCUGCGCUCUUCCAGUAGUAAGUGUCUUUGUUACUUUGCUACUUCAUUCAGUUUUCUAGACAUAAGUGCAAGUCUUUACUCUCUCUGUCCUACUUCAGGCAGGUAGGGAAGGGCUACUGAGACCUCUGAUUUGGGCUUGUGAGUUCCAGUCACCUGGUGACCUCAGUGGGAUUGCAGCUGUAUAAUUAUGCUUUUUAGUAGCCUGCCUGAAAAUCUCAUUUUCUUGUCUUUGGGAGUUCUCAGAACUUAAUCUCACUCCAUCCAGUGCCCUGUGGCUUCCCCAAAUCCUGGGGUGGUAGGGGUUUAGUUCCCAGGCUGUGAAGAUUUAAGCAGAUACUGGACUCCAGGUGACCCUGGCUUUAGGAGUUGGCAAGGGAUCUUCCCCAUGCUGAGCAGGAGUUAAGUGGGCUUCCCUUUCCUCCCUCUGCUCUUCCUUGCUCUCU
Long non-coding RNA from Manis pentadactyla (Chinese pangolin), 1500 nucleotides. RefSeq lists it as uncharacterized. The record is from RefSeq and is a predicted model, not a curated record. The transcript is spliced from 3 exons. Lineage: Eukaryota; Metazoa; Chordata; Mammalia; Pholidota; Manidae.